AUUGAACGCUAGCGGGAUGCCUUACACAUGCAAGUCGAACGGACUGCAGAACGGGUGCGUAUUGUAACGGAAUGUGCCCAGUAGCGGGGGCUCACUACGCCUACGCGAAGCUAAUACCGCUUACUAUUGGAGUGGCCGCUACCGAAUUAGGUAGGUGGUGGGGUAACGGUUCACCAAGGCCACGAUCCGUAGCUGGUUUGAGAGGAAGACCAGCCACACUGGGACUGAGACACGGCCCAGACUCCUACGGGAGGCAGCAGUGGGGAAUUUUGGACAAUGGGGGAAACCCUGAUCCAGCCAUCCCGCGUGUGCGAUGAAGGCCUUCGGGUUGUAAAGCACUUUUGGCAGGAAAGCGGUACCUGCAGAAUAAGCACCGGCUAACUACGUGCCAGCCGCCGCGGUAAUAC
RNAcentral lists this ribosomal RNA (407 nucleotides) under uncultured bacterium. RNAcentral describes it as "partial 16S ribosomal RNA". It matches the Rfam family "Bacterial small subunit ribosomal RNA", at positions 30 to 526 of the family's 1533-position model. The record is from RNAcentral.